Molecule: long non-coding RNA, 7463 nt
Filed under: Malus domestica (apple)
Lineage: Eukaryota; Viridiplantae; Streptophyta; Magnoliopsida; Rosales; Rosaceae
Description: long non-coding RNA (MDOM_LNC012432)
Source: RNAcentral
GGGGCCAUCAUCCAAAGACACUACAUUUCACAUCUCACAACUUCAUUCACAAACACAAUUUCCUUGCCGUGACCUCCAUCCAUUCAUCUAGCCAUACUACAUCUCACCAAUCCAUACACUUUCAUCUCUUAGUUGUGCAAAUCCAUUCCAUCCAUAUAUCCAUACACAUCCUAGACACUUGUGCUACAACAAGGUGGUGAAAACAAAGGUCCUUGGCGUUUUAAGCUUGGAACCUUGGAGCGUUUUAGGUGUACUUCGUUCUUGCUUUCAAUGUCUACUUUGUUAUUUUCUAAUUUUGUUGCAAUUAUGAGUGACUAAACCCCUAUUUAGUUAGGGGGAAGUUUGAAGCCAUGAACAUGCUUGAUAUUUGAAUUGAUUUCUUCCAAUUGUGAUUUGAUAAGUUAUGAUUGCAAUUCAAUUAUCUAUUUUAUUCAUAACUGAUUCUUGUAUGUUUAUGAAGGAUACAUACUUAGUUUUGAUGCAUGAAUUAGAUGCUAGAAUAUAAAUGAGUUUCACCUAAUCGUUACCAGUUUAUAUUCAUGAGUAGUGAAGGUUGUUUAUCACAAUCGCGUUAAUUGAAUUCUUGGCAAUUGUAUCAUGCAUUCAUAGUUAUAAUUGCCUCAUCAACACUUAUGAUUUUCAUUGAACGUAAUGAUCUCUGAUUGUAUCUCUAUUAUGCAAUUCAUAUAGGGGACUUUUAGAGAAUGAUUUGGGUUGUCGCAUGCAUUCAUCCAAUUCAAUGAGUAAAGGAAAAUCUAAGGGUUAAUUUGUGCAUCACGGUUAAUCUGGGGUGUUGAGCAUCAUAGUUUAUUGAAAAGCAAUUGGAAAUCGAUUCAUGUACAAGUGUGUCAUGUGUGAAGAGCGGACCUCUAACUAAUCCAUCCAUAAUUUUAUUUCUCAAAUUCAUUUUAUAAUCUGCCUAGUUUUAUAACUUGCUUGUUUAUUUCGAAUUCGUCAAAACCAAAAUCCCCCUUUUACUUUGUUGUUUCAAAGUGUUAAAUUUCUAUUUCGUUAGUGUUUUUGAGUGUUUUGAUUCAAACCAAAACACUAAAUUCAUCCAAAGUUGUGUUAGAGUCAAAUCUGCCCAGUAAGUGUUUUUAGGCAAUUUUGAGUGAAUUUAAGUUGUUUUGCGUCUUUAGAAUUUGUUUUGAGUCCCUUGAGUCUAUUCAAACAUUUUUAACUUUGUUUUUAUGUUUUUGAGUAAGUUUAGAGGUUUUAGCAAGCCCUCAUAAUCCCCGGUUUAGAACGAUCCCUACUUGCGUUUAUACUACAAUUUGACAACAAGAGGGUUUAAUUUGAGUGCUUAACUUUCAUCGCAUCAAAUUUUGGCGCCAUUGCCGGGGAUUAGCAACUUUGCUAACCCCCCGUUGUUUCUUUUUCAUGUCUUUUGUUUUAGUUACCGACUUUGUUUCUAUUUGUGCCUUUUAUUUCUACUUAUGAUAUUUGAUUUAGUUUUGUUUCCUUGAUUUCAGGUACUAGAGAAGUAAGACAUGAAUUUUGCUACCAUUCAAGCUCAAUUGGCGAAACUUACUUCUCAAUUGUCACAAUAUGCCGAAGGGACCACAAUUCAAAGUGUCCCUACAUAUGGUGUGUCCUAUUAGCAAGGAUAUCCAACUCAUCAAUGUUCUCAAUUCGCUGCGAAUGAAGAUGCUUGGGGUUAUCAAUGCCAUAGCCAAUCAUGGGCAACAUGUUUUCCAACGUUUACAAUUCGGAUUGGAGAGAUUAUUCAGAUUACAUGUGGGGAGAACCUCAACAAUUCCAACAAGAUGGGUAUUGGCAGCAAGAAGAGGAGUUCUAUUCAAGGCCUAUGCAGCCACCACAACAAUCUUUCCUAAUUGAAUUCAAGUACGUCUUUGGAUAAUGAUAUGUUUAAUAAGUUACUCACCUCUUUGAACCAGGAAGUAGAAAAUGGAAACAAAGAGAUGCAAAGUCAAGCCAAGAAGACGGGUGAAUUGGAGAAGCAAAUUGGGCAGAUUAUGGAGUUCAUGGCACAAAUUCAAGAGCAAAGUGAACUCACCAACUCAACUAUUGAAAAUUUGAAGGAAGAUUUUGAAAUCCAUGAUGCUAUCAUUUUGGGAAGUGCUAUAGAGGUUGGAGGUAAACCCAAGACAUCCAAACCAAGCCAAAACAUGGAUGAACAACUGCUGCUCGAAGAAGAGGAGAAUAACAAGGCCACGGCAAGGGAAGAACCACCAUUGCCGCAGCCUCAUAUGCCCUCUAUGUCGUCCAUUAUAACCAAGGUAAGCCUAAAUUCAAUUUGUCCUGACCCCGUUUCACCAAAUGUCCUUAUUCCUUGCAGGAUCAUGCAAUCCAAGGAAGAAGCGGAUGAGAAAGGCAUCUUCGAAACCUUUCCAAAGAAUCAAGAGCAAGAAGUGGAUGGGGAAUGUCUAGAAUUCAUCAAAGAAUAUACACUUGAGACAAAAAUUCCCAAAUAAGUUGGAUUUUCUGACACGGGACAAGUUAUAACUCUCAAAACACCAAAUCUGGCCAAGUCCCAUAUCUUUGCAACCUUCAAAGAUGUUGUGUUCGUAAUUGAGUUUGUGUUGGAGCAAGCAAGUAAGCCAUCUUCUCCAACUUCAAUUUUAUUAUAUACUAACUUGCUGAUUUUGAUGAUUCAGGCACCUACACUAGAAUUUAAACCAUUGCCUGAUCAUGUCAAGUAUCACCAUCCAUUCAAGGAUCAAUUCCAUGCUAUGGGCCCUAUCCAAGUUUAGAAGGAAGUUUCGUCUGGCUGAAAGACGUUAAAGCAAGCGCUUCUUGGGAGGCAACCCAUGUAUUCAAAUAAGGAAUUUUUUGAAUCGCUCCACAAGCAGUUUUGUGUUUCUAAAAACCUUCCCUUUUCUGCAGUUUUAUUUUGCCAUGAUUAUCAUUUUUAUUUGUUGCUUGUUUAAUUGUUUUUGGUGUGGGUUUAUUUUUGAAACACUGACAGAUAUGCAAGGUAUUUUUACAUUCAUUUUCAUGAAAAAAAAAGGAACAUUAAGCAGUAAAAUACAAAAGUGAGCCUUCACAAAGGCUGCUUAGGAGAAGUCUCAGUAGUCGGUGGAGCCUCAGUAGUCGACGGAGCCCUAGAAGGAGGAGGCAUCGGAGGUUGAUCAUUUGGAGCUUCAUUACACGGUACAGCCCCAGAAGACGAAGGCAAAUGCUGUUGGAACAAACCCACAAACCUCUGAUGAUCAAGUAAAAUCUGACCAUCAGAUUCCUGCAUCUGGUCAAUCUUCCUCUUCAUGUUUGUAGCAUAGUUAUGUGAGAGCUUAUGCAACUGUUUAUUCUCAUGCUUGAGCCCUCUAAUCUCCUGUUUGAGACUCAUCACUUCAGCCGCCAACGAUUCAACUUGACGGGUUCGAGCAAAUAGGUGUUGGGCCAUAUUGAACACAAAACCGGCACACUGUACACUGAGAGCCAGAGAAUCCUUAACAGCCAGCUUAUCAGACCGUUUGGAAAGUAGUUUGUUAUAUUUAGGGGCGACAAGGUUCCGGGCCACCACCGCAGCAGUCAUGUCAUUCUUCAUCAUCGAAUCCCCAACGGUAAAAGGAUGGGCGCCAUAUGUUGUCUGGAGAAGGCAUGGCAGCCUCUUCACCAAGGUUCAAGUCAAAACGACGGUCGGAAGGGCCAGACAUUUUCAAAGGUGUUGAAGAAAGAAGAGGUCGGACAAGUCAAGAUAUUAGAAGUGCAAGAAGGGAGUUUAUACAAGUGCAAAUUCAAGUGUGCUUUGAAAUGAACUGCGUGCCUCUAUAAAAAUCAACACUCGACGGGAUUUCAGAUAUCGAAGAGGCGAGCUCAGAAUUCAAAGAGGUCAAUUCAAAAAUCGAAGAGGGGCUAGCUUUCUCAAAAGUUGGGCUUGCUCAGAAACCACGGGCCAUCCUCUGUUCUAGAUUUGUCCGCACUCGUCACAUGCAACCUCUGGACUCGACGGAGCUCAGAACUUGAAGAUGCAAGCUCAGAAAUCGAAGAGCCAUCUGCUUUUCCAGACGUAUCAGCAUCUCUCACAUGCACGCUCAGCUUUGCAGAAAUCACAGGCAGUUUGUCGAAGCGUCGAUUCCAGAUAUCGAAGAGGCGUCUGCUUUAUCCAAACGUGUCAGCAUCUGUCACAUGCACGCUCAGCUUUACGAAAAUCACGGGCAAUCUGUCGAAGAUUUCUGGUGAAGUAGAAAGCACGUGAAGUUUAUUGUUUAAUCAUCCAACGGUUGCCGACAAGAGUGAAAGAAUAGUACCGGUUAUUAUUUCCUAUAAAUGUCGACCUUCACCCUCCAUAGCAAAGCAGACAUACAUAACCUUCCGUCAUCUCCGAGAAUGCCUUCCCAACGAAGCCUCUUGAGUCACUCAGUGUUCCUUAUUCCUUGGGGUACCUCUGCAAACAACUCAUCCAAAGCAAAAGUAUUUCAUAUCAUGAAGGUUGAAAGCAAGAGUAUCUCAUAUCAUGCUUUCUCCCUGUCCUUCUCCUUGUCGUUGUUUUCAUCUACGAGACAAGGAGAAAGAGAGCAAUCAGCCAGCACUUGGUAUCAAUCUUCCGAUCUGAAACUGACUGCCUGGAACCCCUUCUUGAUUGCUUACCUAGCCCUGCUCUCGAGUACUCAUCUUCAACAUCUUAUGCUUCCUCUUCGUCUACCACAUCUGCUUGGGGAACAGAUAAGGGAAGUGAAAAUGAUACCUCGAAGCAUGUGGAGACAAGGUACUAAUUCAUCCUCAGCUAGGGACAAGGAGAAAGAAAGCAAGAGGUGGGCACUUGGAAAGAUUGAAGAAAUAAACAGACCAUCACUUCUACCUCGUGCCUGUCUGUCGUGCAGAAGAAACAAGCAGAGAAGAAUGCAGACUGCACAAUCAAAUCAACCCAGCAGAAGGAGUCUGAUUUGAAACCAAGGAACUCUCGCUUAGAAUUCCGAACCAGUUCGAGAUCAAAGCUGUGGAAAGACAACAAGAUCACCUAUCUCUAAAACCAGAUUUGCGUUCUUAAACUCUACUCUGUCUGGUUUUUACUUUGCCAUACUUGUCAUGUUUAUUCGUUGUUUGUUUGUUUGCUUGUUUGUGUGUGAGUUUAUGCUUGAAACAUUGAGGAUAAUGUUUGAUUUAAGUGUGGGGGGGGGGGUAACCAAGUUGUUUUGCAUGAAAUUCGUAGGAGUUUAUCACCCAUUACUUCUAGAGUUGUUCCUUGCUGUUUUAAGUGUUUUUUUAAGAUUUUUUGGAGUGUUUUAAUGUGUUUUGAUAUAAAAAUCCGAAAAUCUCAUAAAAAUUGGAAAAAUUGUUUUGAAAAACCCAAAAAGAGUUGUUUUUGUAUGUUUAUUUGUGUCUUAGGGUACCUUCCAACACAAUGAUGAGGAUUUGGUUUUUAAUUACAUGACUGUUAAAGAGAGUUAUAAACAUGGAUGAAAAUUUGAUUUACUCUUUGAUGUAUGCUUGGUUGUGGUUAUAAUUUAAGAAUUCACAUGCAAUCAUAAAAGGAAAAAUCAGUUUUUUUUGUAACAUGCUUGAAAGAAGGAACUCAAACUAACGUUACAUCAUUGAGAGACUUAGGCCUAAACAUUUAUUUGGAGUUAUUGAUCUGUGCAAUUUUUUUAUUUUCUAAAGUCGUUGCAUGAUCUCAUUAUUCUUUGCUUGGUUGCUACUUAGAAGGCGUUUCAUCAUUUAGUUCCAAAUGCUUGAACUCAUGCUUAUUUCAUUCAAAGCAUGUUAUUGAUUUGCGUAACACAUAUUCAAGAUGAAGUUGUUUAGUGAGCCAAGAGCCAAAAAGCCUAUCUCGUUCAUUAUGUGUUUAAGUUUAACCCCGUUGAGUCUUGUGUUGCCUAUGUUCUUUGUUACCCACGCUAUCCUCACCUAGCCUAGAUUAGGACCAUCCAUACCCUUGUUCUUGAAGCAUAGUAAAGCAUAAUUUAGAAGGAAUUCCUUUUGUUGAACUCUUGCAGAAAAACAAGUGUGGGGGAAGUGAUUCUUGUGUGUGUGUGUGUGCCAAAGUCCUUCAUAAGGCACGGGUAGAAAAGGAAAAGAAAAAGAAAAAUUCGUGGAAAAUAGAAUGAAAAGAACAAAAGUUGUGAAAAGAGUUUAAAAUUUUAUGAGAAAGAGCUCUAAAGUGUUGUUUGUUGAAGAAAGGGUCCAAAGCAUUGAAUUCGACCCUAAGUGUUGCAUGAAUCUUCCCUUUGUGUUUAAAAGUUGAUUUUUGCAUUCUAAAGUAAAUUUCAAGUGUCGAUUCCAUUACUUUGCUUGCUAUCGCUUUAAGAACAUUUGUUAUUCCUAUCCUUUCUUUGUUAGCCAUUACCCCCAAGCCCUGUUACAACCCUUGACUUCAAUCUUGAGUGUUGUGUGUUUCAAUUUGUGGAGUUUGAAAUUGAUAUGAGCAUAUGGUGUCACUGGUUCUUGCAUCUAAGUAGUAGCAUUCCAUUCAUGAGAUCAUAUAUAUACAUGAAUUAAUAAUUCCAGAAAUUGCUUCUUUGUUGAAAAACAUAUGUGAGUACUAGAUUUCAUGUUUACAUCAAUCUUCUCACAUAUACCUAAUAUAGGGAGUGUAGUCAGAAAUUCUUGUGUGAAAAUAAGAAUGUAUCUAGUAAGGAAUUGAGAAAAUUCUCUAAGGCAUGUUACUAUAUUCAAAAUGCUGUUUUAAUUUAUUAAAUGUGAGCUAGUGAAUGGUGACUAUGAUUAAGUAUGCUCGAGGGUAAGGAAUGCUUAAAUCUAUGUAAGUGGUGAUCUUUGGCAUGUCAUGUUUCAUUGAAAAUCCUUGACGCAAAUGUUGGAAGGUUAGGUUAUGUUUUCUUUGUUUUGUUUGUUUUGUUUCGUUUUGUUUCUUUUGUUUUGCUCGAGGACUAGCAAAAGCUAAGUGUGGGGGAAUUUGAUAGGAACAUAUUUAUGCGACUUAGUUAGCUUGUUCUUGUGCAUUUGUGUUGUUAUUUCUUAGUUAAUUAUGUAUUUUAAGCUAUUUUCGUGUGUUUGUAGGUCAUAUAACAAAGUUGGCAAGAAAGUGCAUUUUGGAGCAUUUUUGAGCAUUUUUGAGCCAAGAUUGGAUAGUGCAAGCAUGGAGACAUGAGGAUGGACAUUUUUGAAGAUUUGAAGGCAAGAAAUCAACAUGUGUGUGUGCAAGUGCGUUCACCUACAACUCCAAACAUCCAUCCACUACACCCAUUACAUCCACUCAUUACCAAACACUCAUCCACUACACCCAUUACAUCCACACAUUACCACAACACUCACCCACUACACCCAUUAUAUCCAUUCAUUACAACUCCAUACACUCCUCUCCCUAGCCUAUAAAUACAUCUAACCUUCACCAUAAUUCGGGGGCCAUCAUCCAAAGACACUACAUUUCACAUCUCACAACUUCAUUCACAAACACAAUUUCCUUGCCGUGACCUCCAUCCAUUCAUCUAGCCAUACUACAUCUCACCAAUCCAUACACUUUCAUCUCUUAGCUGUGCAAAUCCAUUCCAUCCAUAUCUCCAUACACAUCCUAGACACUUGUGCUACAACAAGGUGGUGAAAAC